AAUCUCAGGUUUUAUCUUCUUGAAAUCUGCAGUCUUUCUUUAUAUUAAACCCUUUAAUUUCCUUAUUUGGUUUCAAUCAAUAGCAUUUGGAAUCCCUUAUAAUUAUUCAAACCUAUUGGUUUCUUAAAUUUUUGAAUCUACAGCAAUAUCCUCAAUAUUAUCUUAAAUUUCCUCAAAAAACCCAAAAGUCCAAACGCUUCAAAUCAAUACAUCUCUAUGAGAUUUCCUCAUGCUUGCAUUUUUCAAUCAUUUAUGGCCCCAAAUAAAUGGAUUGUGAUUUUAUCACCAAAUUCUGGACAACAUCAAGCUACGUGUGGAUCAUCGCUUUCCAUGGCACUAUCGCUUUUUCUACUUCAAUCCAAAGCAGAUUUUGUGUUUCUGAAAAGCAUAAGCGGGAAAAUUAUUUAAUGGGUUACAAAACCUUAAGCUCAAAGUCGAAAGGAAUUGAACCAAUAAUUCAAUUCUGAAAUCUUUGAUCUGUUUUAAUUUGUUCCAGUCAUUGAGAUUUGAAAAAACAUGCUUAUGUAUGUAUUGGCAGUAGAUUGAAAGUUGAUUUUCAUUGCCAGUGGGUAUGUAUAACUCUAUAUGGGAACAAAGAUGAGAUUGUGAGAGCUUGGGAUACCAACUGUGUUCAGGUUGUGCUUAACUUUGUUUAUUUUUAAUGUUUCUUUUGUUGGUACACAAGUUAAGAGUUUAAACUUUAAUGUAAUUAGAGAUAUCAGAUUCUUCUCAUUUAUACAUUUGAAAAUAUUUUUUCAAUGAGUUGUUAUAGAUUGAUGGAGUUUGAUUGUGAAUACUUAGAGACGAGGAAGGCAUCAUUCCUUCUAAAGUCAAUAUGCAGCUAAAUGAUGAAAAGCAAUCUAUAGUUUAGUUUUUGUAACCUUACAUUCCUAAUUACUGGAAACAAAAGACAGAUGCAAGAUGUAUGAUAGAGUGUUUAAGAAGCAUGGAGGUCAGCAAAUGCUUUUCAACAGGAGUGGUCAUUUGUGAAAAGUAUAUCUCCCUAUAUUAAUUUUUAAUGUUAUGCCUUCUAAUGAAGGUUUUUUUAUCUAGGUUUAACAACAAGGGAUUAUUGAUAAUCAUAAGUUUCAAGCAUUUCUUAUGUAGACUAUUACUGUUGAUACUAUACAAGAAAAUUAUACACCAUCGCA
This is a non-coding RNA of Durio zibethinus, 1151 nucleotides long. The record is from RefSeq and is a predicted model, not a curated record. Lineage: Eukaryota; Viridiplantae; Streptophyta; Magnoliopsida; Malvales; Malvaceae.